AUCGCUUCUCGGCCUUUUGGCUAAGAUCAAGUGUAGAAAAUAUAUUUAUUAACAUUAUGUCAAUAUAUAGUGGGUCUUUUUUCAAUGAGUAUUUUUGAAAUACUACUUUUAAUUUCUAACAUGGGAAGUGUAUCAGUAAAACCCAGGGACAAGAGAUGUGCAGGUCCUGAGAAACAAUA
This 179-nucleotide small nuclear RNA is filed under the name Fukomys damarensis (Damara mole-rat). RNAcentral's name for it is "U2 spliceosomal RNA". It matches the Rfam family "U2 spliceosomal RNA". From Rfam's summary of the family: U2 is a small nuclear RNA (snRNA) component of the spliceosome (involved in pre-mRNA splicing). Lineage: Eukaryota; Metazoa; Chordata; Mammalia; Rodentia; Bathyergidae. The record is from Rfam by way of RNAcentral.